GGAGGAAGAUACCAAAUUGAUGUUACCUGUGAAGUGAGAUCAUAAGAGACAAUGAAAAAUAAAUUCUAAUUGUUGAUCCAAGAGGUCUUUUAUUUAAUAAAGAACAUUCUAAAGUGCGCACACGCGCGCACGCGCACACACACACACACACACACACAUCACCUACAGCUGUCCAAAAUUACCACUGUUUUUCUAUUAAUUUUUAAAAAGGUUUGGCUGAAACGUUCAAAGCCAAAUAAUUCUUUGCAGAAGUUUUCCUUGGCGAUGUAGUACAGAUGCCUUUAGGAUACGAAUUUAGCUAUUUUAAUUGUUAAAGCAGUAAAUAUAGGAGCAUUUUUUUAUUUUGUCUUUUUUGGUAUUUUACAGGAAACAGGAAUAGUUCUUGAAUUUGAUUUUUGAUAAACCUUUGUUAAUGUGGGACUGGCAUUUGUUUGAAUUUAAAGGAAAACAGCUAUAGAAUCAUAUGCUUUUACCUAGAAAUGAAAAUACAGUGACUUAAAACAGAUGUCUAACAAAAACUGAUGCCAGGUUUUAAGAUUGUAACUUGUCACCCAGAAGUGUGGCACCGCAUGCAAAUGUGGGAAAGGCUAAAAAAUAUGUUCUAAUAUCUUAAGAGGAAAUGUGAAGGGCACACUUAAAAGUGUGACAGUCUUGCACAGUAGUGCAGCCGUAUGAAUGUACUUGAUGCCCCUGAUCAUCCACUUAAUAAUGGUGAAAAUGGUAAAUUUUAUAUUGUGCAUAUUUUACUAUAACUAAAACAAAAUUUUUUAAUGUGACCAGGUCAACUAAUGACUUCAUAAGAACUCAAACACUUGUUUCCAGAGAAAUGGCAGCCUGAACACAACUGCCUGCACCCAUGGGCCUCAGAUACCAAAUCUCCCAUUUCACAUCCUCACUUGUAGAUUUCUGGCUUCCUGUCCAUCCGUUCCUAGUCCCCUAUGCUCCCUUCUCCUGAUUUCCCUCCAGAAGAGCUCCCCUCGCUGAAGUUGGAGGCAAGAUGGACCUCCAGAUGAGGCCGCUGGGGCUCAAAGUUGUGUAUCUCCUAAAGGUUCCUGCAGUUGAUAGAAUACAUGUGUUUCUUUCUCGACUAAUGUGUCUUGACAAGGGAUUGGGCCUCUGAGAAAGCGCUAAAGGUCCAAACAGCCUUUCAGGAGACUAACAGGAAAUCUGGUCUUGGUUGUGGGUGGUAUGAGUGAUGGGCCCUUCCCAGGCAGGGAGCCUGGGGUUGAGGGGAGGCUGGCACAAUAGUGACCACCAACAGAAGGGCCUUGGGCAAGCACUUUUUUUUUUUUCUUUUUUUGGCUGUCCCAAGGCAUGUGGAGUUCCUGGGCCAGGGAUCAGAUUGGAACCACAGUUGUGACCUAUAUCAAAUCUGUGGCCACACCAGAUCCUUAACCCACUGCAGGGCCAGAGAUCAAACCUGUGGUAACAGCCACGUGGGAUGAUGCAAAGAAGUGUAAAAGUCAAACAGACUUGGGUUGGCCCUUCCUCCUUUUUCUUUUUUCUUAGGUUUUUAUUUUUUUCUAUUAUAGUUGAUUUACAUUGUUCUGUCUAAAGGCGAUAGUUUGCAUCUACUAACCCCAAACUCCCAGUCCAUCCCACUCCCUCCCACUCCCCUUCCGCAACAACAAGUCUGUUCUCCAAGUACAUGAGUUUGUUUCUGUGGAAAGGUUCAUUGUGCCAUAUAUUAGAUUCCAGAUAUAAGUGAAAUCAUAUGGUAUUUGUCUUUCUCUUUCUGACUUACUUCGCUUAGUAUGAGAGUUUCUAGUUCCAUCCAUGUUGCUGUAAAUGGCAUUUUAUUUUUUAUGGCUGAGUAGUAUUCCAUUGUGCAUAUGUGCCACAUCUUCUUAAUCCAUUCAUCUUUGAUGGACAUUUAGGUUGUUUCCCUUUCUUAGCUAUUGUGAAUAGUGAUGCAGUGAACAUAGGGGUGCAUGUAUCUUUUUCAGUGAAAGUUUUGUCCUCAUAUAUGCCCAGGAAUGGGAUUGCUGGGUCAUAUGGUAGUUCUGGAUUUAGUUUUCUGAGGAACCUCCAUACUGUUUUCCAUAGUGGUUAUACCAAUUUACCUUCCCAUCAACAGUGUAGGGAGGUUCCCUUUUCUCCACACCCUCUCCAGCAUUUGUUAUUUGUUGAUUUGUUAAUGAUGGCCCUCUGACCAGUGUGAGGUGGUACCUCAUAGUAGUUUUGAUUUGCAUUUCUGUAGUAAUUAGUAAUGUUGAACAUUUUUUCAUGUCUCUAUUAGCCAUCUGUAUCUUCUUUGGAGAAAUGUCUGUUCAGGUCUUCUGCGCAUUUUUCAAUUGAGUUGUUGGGUUUUUUGUUGUUGAGUCUUUCCUCCUUUCUUCCAUUUGGAAAUGAGAGGAUUCAUACUCUGGCAGGUGAAGUGAAGAAUCACUUAAUUCAGGAGUUCCCGUCGUGGCGCAGUGGUUAACGAAUCCGACUAGGAACCAUGAGGUUGCGGGUUUGGUCCCUGCCCUUGCUCAGUGGGUUAAUGAUCCGGCGUUGCCAUGAGCUGUGGUGUAGGUUGCAGACGUGGCUCGGAUCCCGCGUUGCUGUGGCUCUGGCGUAGGCCCAUGGCUACAGCUCCGAUUCAACCCCUAGCCUGGGAAUCUCCAUAUGCCGCGGGAGCGGCCCAAGAAAUAGC
Molecule: long non-coding RNA, 2638 nt
Filed under: Sus scrofa (pig)
Lineage: Eukaryota; Metazoa; Chordata; Mammalia; Artiodactyla; Suidae
Description: lncRNA (ENSSSCG00050039934.1)
Source: RNAcentral